Molecule: ribosomal RNA, 397 nt
Filed under: uncultured bacterium
Lineage: Bacteria
Description: partial 16S ribosomal RNA
Rfam family: Bacterial small subunit ribosomal RNA
Source: RNAcentral
AUACGUAGGGGGCGAGCGUUGUCCGGAAUGAUUGGGCGUAAAAGGCGCGUAGGCGGCCCGGUAAGUCUGGAGUGAAAGUCCUGUUUUUAAGAUGGGAAUUGCUUUGGAUACUGUCGGGCUUGAGUGAGGUAGAGGUAAGCGGAAUUCCCAGUGUAGCGGUGAAAUGCGUAGAGAUUGGGAGGAACACCAGUGGCGAAGGCGACUUACAGGAAUGUAACGGACGCUGAGGCGCGAAAGUGUGGGGAGCAAACAGGAUUAGAUACCCUGGUAGUCCACACUGUAAACGAUGAAUGCUAGGUGUAGGGGGUAUCGACCCCUUCUGUGCCGCGGUCAACACAAUAAGCAUUCCGCCUGGGGAGUACGGCCGCAAGGUUGAAACUCAAAUGAAUGGACGGGG